RNAcentral lists this ribosomal RNA (173 nucleotides) under Ephemerocybe subpurpurea. RNAcentral describes it as "Coprinellus subpurpureus 5.8S ribosomal RNA". The stretch from base 4 to 157 matches the Rfam family "5.8S ribosomal RNA". From Rfam's summary of the family: 5.8S ribosomal RNA (5.8S rRNA) is a component of the large subunit of the eukaryotic ribosome. It is transcribed by RNA polymerase I as part of the 45S precursor that also contains 18S and 28S rRNA. Functionally, it is thought that 5.8S rRNA may be involved in ribosome translocation. Lineage: Eukaryota; Fungi; Basidiomycota; Agaricomycetes; Agaricales; Psathyrellaceae. The record is from RNAcentral.
UACAACUUUCAGCAACGGAUCUCUUGGCUCUCGCAUCGAUGAAGAACGCAGCGAAAUGCGAUAAGUAAUGUGAAUUGCAGAAUUCAGUGAAUCAUCGAAUCUUUGAACGCACCUUGCGCUCCUUGGUAUUCCGAGGAGCAUGCCUGUUUGAGUGUCAUUAAAUUCUCAANCUC